AACCCUGAGCCCUACCUCAGGCCUGAAGGCUGAAGCUAGGUUGGCUCCCCAGGAAGCAGACUCUGAGGUGCAGCUUGGCAUGCAGGAUGUUUAUUAAGGGUGUGCCCUUGGGAUCGACUGCUGCUAAAAGGAAAAGAAGGAAGCAGGACAAGACAGAGGGCUUUCGUUUGCAGCAUCUUCUCCACAUGUGUCUACCAUUGCUUUAUAGGAUCAUGUCAGCUCUUUUCACAAUCACAUACUAGUACAACAGAACUUUCAGGU
Long non-coding RNA from Myotis myotis, 261 nucleotides. RefSeq lists it as uncharacterized. The transcript has 3 exons. NCBI's taxonomy places the organism in Eukaryota, Metazoa, Chordata, Mammalia, Chiroptera, Vespertilionidae. The record is from RefSeq and is a predicted model, not a curated record.